GGACCUCUUGUCAAUGCCCCUGGACUCGUCCAGGCUCACGGAUACAAAGCGGUUGGCGGCGACCAGCCUGCGGAUUUCGUCCUUGAGCACCGCAUCCAGGGCCUCGGCAAGCUGCCAGGCACUGUUGCAGCUCCAGUGCUUAUCACGGUAGUGUGGCACGUCCAGCACCUGGAACAGGUCCUUAGAGCCGACAUAGUCGAGGAUGGGGCGCCCGUGAUCCAGCAUGAAGAAGAGCUGCCGCAGCUGCUGCACAACUCCCCUCUCGGACUUGCUGAGUGCUCUGGACAAAAGGUUGUCGACCGUCCGCGCUGUCAGCUGGUGCCGCUCGUGCUGAAGGGCCCGCGCUUCGUGGCUGCACAUGGCUUCUUAGUGUUUUUUGGAGAGCUCGUGGCUUUUUAGCGUGGCCUGCCUGGCAUCCAUCGUGACGUCCCGCCGCCGGCUGAGGGAGCAGGGACCGCACCGACGCAUUCCCUCGUUCUCCCGCCAGCUCCCAUCGCUUUGGCCUUUCAGCACACGCUGUGUUUGCUGGCGCCGCGCCUGCUUUUGAAUCACCAGCGGCGCGUGCUGCGAAGCACCCGCCCUUGAAGGUGGCGGUGGUGCCGUGGCGACAUCUUGGGGUGGUGGCCCUUCCUCGUCAGAAUCAAGCUGGUCAGCAUCUGAGUCGCUGAUUGNNNNNNNNNNNNNNNNNNNNNNNNNNNNNNNNNNNNNNNNNNNNNNNNNNUAGGGUGGGGUGGGGGGAUGUGCAUGUGAGGGAUGGUAUGAACGUUCAAGUAACGUAAGAAUGGGAGGAAGGUGAAGGGGAGGGGGAAGGGAGGGGGCAUGAGGAACAUGUGCUCAUUGACGACGGCGGGCGGGGGGAGGGCGGGCUCUCGUAACGAUACGAAAGGUGAGGGGAAAAGAUCGGAAAGGAAACACAUAUGGGGAAGGGAGUUACAUGCGAUAUUAGGAAAACAAAAAAGAGAAAGGGGGGCCGUGCAGGUGUAUGUGCGUAUGUUUGUAUGUGCGCUGAGGGGAAGCCCACGGGUCCCGUCGUACCUCCUCACUGCCGUACUGCCUGCCGCACGUGUCGCACUCCCAGUAUGCAGAGGGCCCCCCGCUGACGUCACCACCCGCGUCAUCAGCACCGCCGCCGCCGCCGCCGCCGCCGCUAGGACCGGCCUGCAUGCCGCCAGCACCUAUGACGCAAUCGCCAGCUGCGUCUGUCCAGUACACAAACCCGCCGCCCCCGCCACCUCUCCCGCCGCCACCGCCACCGCCGCCGUCGUCGUUGUUGUUGUCGUGGGUAGCGGCGCCGGUGGUGGCGGCGGUUGCAGCUGUCCAUGGUGCCAUCACGUUGCCAUCCACCGCCUUGUCGCCGCUCAUGGUGGUGGCGGCGACACCCUCCCCGCCUCCGCCUCCGCCACCGCCUCCAUCGCUCCCUCCAUUGUAACGCUCUUGGCGGUUGUGGUGGUCGUGGUUUUGGGGGUUAUGGCAGUUGGGGCAGGGCAACGACCGGUACGGGUCCCGGCGGCGGUUGCAUCUGCUACAACAGCAACUGAAGAGCUUUGUUCGUACCUGCGGGGGGGGUCCUUGUGCGAAUGGGUUGAAGGGGGCCGGGCGGGGAUAUGUGUUUCGUGGCCGGGCGGCGGAGCGGGAUUGCAGCGUGGGGUGCGCGAGGAGCAGGGCGAGAGCAGCCCCUGCAUGUGUGUGAUAUAGACAUACAAACAGAUAGGUAGACGGGGCGACAGAGACAGGCAGACUGACAGAUUGACAAACAGGAAGACAGGUAACCACAAAGACAGACAGGCCGACAGUCAGCCAGGCAUACAUACAGACAUACAUAGACAUACACACAGACAGAGGAACUGGAGCCUCUCCACCGCACCAGUAGCUUCUGACGCAUGCGAGUGGACAGCAGCGUCUGCUCGUCCCAGCCCUGUAAUAUUCCACCGUACGACAUGUGUACGGCGUUCGGUGUACGGCAGUGAUGGUGUACGGAGAUGGUGAGCAUGUUGAGGCCGUGUCGGAAUAGCGCAGCAAGGCCCGCCACGUCGCAGCCCCCGGACAGGCGCCACGGAGGGUGCGGAGGGUGGGAGGCGGACGGGGAGGAAGGAAGGAAGGGACGGUGUCUUUGUCAGCAGCGGCUAUGACCUCCCCCAGUACUGAAGAUCAAACGCCUCCCCGGGUUGUAGCGGUGCGCCUUUUACCAUGCGGCGGCGGACGCGGUCUCGCGCUGCAGAAGUUUCCUAAUCAAGCUCCCCCUUUACAUUGCGCUUUUCAGAGUGCGAAUAUCCUCUGACGUGUACGAGCCCUCUGUGAUGGCGGUGGGGUGGUGGGGUGGUCCGCCACGCCCUCCUUCCCCCCCUCCCGCCCUCCCAGUCCCAGUCCCAGUCCCAGUCCCAGUUCCUCUCCUACUCUCCUCGUAGCAGCCCUCUCUCCCUCCCUCCCUUCUCAUGUCCCAUAUCAUUCCGACUCUUCUUUCCAUUUCAUCCCGUGCACACAAAAGCGCGCAGCACCCCACCAGGUAGCACGUGGUGAUGACCUCCCCUGGAGAGAUCGGUCGGAUCGCCACGAAAACACCACAGCCAUCAUUGCCAUUGGUGCCCUCCCCACUAUCAAGGAGGAAACGAUAUCUGGGGAGCGGGGAAGGACAGGACCACCCCGCGCGUGUACGACGGCAAUAUACAAAGAUACGGCGUAGCACGACAAAGCAUGGAGCAAUAUCUCAGGUAGCGUGGCGUUGCCUUGGUAUCCAUCGGAAUGUCGAAGAUUAGCUAAAGGCAAACUUGAUUUUUUUAUAUCUAUGAGCUUACGAGUUAAUGCCGGUAACUUGAAGAUUUUAAUGUUUUUUUUCGAAGAUUGAUGACUUGAGGACAAGAAUGCAAGUGCUAUGAGGGAGAAAGUAUUCUCUGUUCAGCUAAUGUGUGUCAUGAAAGAAACAGGCAAUCAAAGUGACUUAGUUGUUCCAAUCAAAACCGAUGUGAAACGUCGGAGAUGCCAAUAACAUCAAUCCGAAUUACGUAUCUCCUGUGGUGAAAGGUCGUCUUGCACCGCAGCGCCGCCACGGUCACCCGUCCCGUAAGUCUCUUAUCAACAACUAGACUCCCUCCGGCUUCUUCCCUCCCUUCUUAUUAAGCAUCUCUGCUCCGAAACAUCCGACAUGCACUGACCGCGUAUUACCCUCACAGCAGUGAUUGACAAGGCUGCCGACUUUGUACAGGGCACCGCCUCCGUCACGCGUAGAGUAGCAGUUGCAAACCCAUGCCAGCACUACCCGGAUGACUUCAUCAGAGCUGGGGCAAGCUGCAAUGGGUCCCAGCACGCUGCUGGAAAAUGCUUCACAAUUUCUCGCGGCGUCAAGCUGUUCGGCGUACUGCCGAGCGGCCCGGACGUAUGGCUCAUCCUUGAAUACGUUAGCGUCAGGAGUAUAAAGCUCCCAAACAGAUUUUUUCACUUCCAGAUCUGCAGCGCAAUAUUGCAGCAUCUGAAGUGUGAAGUCAAUUGACGCAUCUUUACCAAGCAGGUCCGCGCGGAUGCCCAGAUCCUUGUGAGCCGCAAAAAUCUCAUCAAGAAGCUCGGAACUUUCGACCGUCGCCAGCAGUGGUUGCUCGCGUACAACAACAUCGCCAGCAGCAAAAGUGCGAUCAGCCACUAACGCAUUGCCGUAAGGUUCCACAUAGCGCUUUAUCAGUCCGUCUAUCACCAUCCUAAAAUAAUUAUCGCAAAGGACAAAACUGUCUAGAGUUGAUCUUUCCAGGGUAUACGGGUGCACAGUUCGGAGUUUCCCAAAACAGCAUCGCGAAGUUACGUACUUUUUGUAACUGUAGAUAGAAUAUGACCACACCGCGUAUGACGGUUAUGGCCGUGACGACCGACGAUACGAUCGACUGUCAACCGCUGACCAUGACGUGCAAAGCUGCGGUAAGGCGGGCGUACAGGCGGGUGAUGCGAAGCUCCUCGUUUAGUGCCGCACUUCAUAUGUGUUUGGAACGCUGAAUGUCUGCAUUUGCCAUUCUUUCACAUAUGUUGCCCAACUUCAUCCUCGCGGCAAUUUUGCGGCAGAGCUCUCCCUACGAAGCCGCUAAGUGCCGCUACGGUCUAUGGGUUUUAUCACGUAACAGCGCGAUCUCCUCGGUCCCCUCACACAGCUCCAGCUGGACCACCUCCUAGCUACAAAACACGUGCAAGCUUAGGUUUUAACGGGUUUUUAGCGGUAUGCACCAGAUAAUCGUUCCGUAAUAUCCGCCACAAAGAAUUCAAAGAUGGAAGGAUGCAAUGUAAAAUUGCACUCAAACUCUAUCUUUGCUUUGGCGUCGCUUGUCUGCUAUUUGUAUUGUUCACUGCGUUCUUCAACUCGACGCGCCCAAAGCGGACAACGCCGGUACAAUCACAGGUAAUGCAGAACUUGACGUAGGAGCUGAGCCGUGCCCAGUGUUUUUUUUUCGUUUUGGGCCUAGUACCCUAUGGUAAUGAAAUGGGUGUUUCUUGCGGUUACAAUUCCUAUUUGUAUAGUCGCUGGGGGGGGCUGUGCCCCCCCCAGACCCCCCCUCAAAGGCCGUACGGUGUGCUGUAAACAACACCUGACGUCUGGAAACACACAUGUCGUACCACCAUCGUUCUGUGCACCUAACUGCAUUGGCGCCAGUGUCUCUGUGAGCAGGGCGCGGAGCCACUUUGACUGUCCAUAAACGUCGUGAGCACGCGAAGGCAAAGUUAUAUAUAUGUAUGUAUAGUCUUCCAUUAGAUAACUAUCUCACAUGGUACGUACAAAUAUGUACCCUUAUGUACACUGUCGGCACCAUCAACACCACUGCAUUGCACCAGCCGCCGACCAGUUGCUGGCUAGGCCUCUGCACCACAUCAGAAGCUAGUCGUUCAUGCGGUACCGCCCCUUGAUCACGGCCUCACGCCACUUCUUCACCGCCACGUCGAAGGGGAACGUGCGCAGGUCGUACAGCUCCUGCGUGAACAUCCUGACGCAGAGCGCCAGGUGCUCGUCCAGGCGGUUGCGGACGUUGCUCUGCACGAAGUUCAUGGCCGAAAACCGCCGCUCGUCCUCCACCGACCCCGGCACCAUCACGAACACGAGCUUGGCCAAAGCCACGUACUCCUUUAGGCUCUCCGCAUGGACAGGGGCGUUCUCCAGCUGCUUCCAAAGCUGGAUGGUGGGGCUCUCCUCCUGCUCCUCACGUAGCUUUCGCUGCACAACCUUGCUGCCAGCAGCCGCCCGCUCCGCCGCAAGCUGCUCACGCAGCUUGGCGGUCUGCCCCCGAAUCCGGGCCAGUCGCUGCUUGGUUGCCAAGGCCCGCAUGAGCUGCUCGAACUGUGUGGCCUUGGCAUCCAAUGCCGCGAUGUUGAGCUUUGGCGGCACUUUACUCCCGUCGUCCAGCUCGCACUCCUUGCCGUAGUGGGUCUUGAUCACCUUCAGCUUUGACCGGAAGUCUGCCGCUGUCGGCCUGGCCUCCCAGUACUCGCUGUAGAGGAUUUGGAAGGCGUCCAGCAGGGCCGUGGGGGGGAAGCGGGCCUCCAGCUCGCCGGCCAGCACCUGCACUGCGGCAGUAAGCUCCGCCUGGACUGCUGCAGCAGUGGACGUGAUGAGCUCCGCCGUUAGGCUGACCAUGCACCCGCCUCUGCCCCGCCGCUGCUGCAUCGCGUGGAAGGCAAUGAAGCGGUCGCCAAACACCAGGCCGACGCUCUCGUCCUCAGGGCUGAGCUCCCACUGAGUGCCGUCUAGGCUGUCACCCGCAGGGCCCGUGGGGAGUAGCUGGGUGUAGUCCACAAAAUCCGCACCCUGAUAGCACGUGGCGCUGUCCAGGUACAUCCGGCGGAGGUCAGCCUUCAGGCGCUCCAGCUCGAUGUUUAGGUGGCCGAUGAACAGGUGCCGGCUCUGGCAGAGCUUGAUGAAGAAGUUGGUGCGCCGCAGCGCGGGUAGUAGGGCGUGCAUGGCCAGGUACAGGCGGGCGUCCGUCAUCUGGGUGAAGAUGAACUGCUCUUCCGCCUCCUCCAUGUACAGCAGCAGGGCGCCGUACUCGCUCACGACACGCUGCAGCGGCAGCAGCAGGCUCAGCCACCUGCGGGGGCGGCAGAAACAAACAGUAAGGUGGUGUUAAUAGUAUAAAGCAAACGGCGUUUGGCAGGUUCUAAAGCAAAGGCGGCCUCCAGUGCUCCUAGCAUAUAAAGCUGAGAAUCUAACCAUAAAAGAGCCUUUGCCCCGCACACUGGCUAACUGAUUAUGGAUAAAAGCUCGUCAUCCUGAAGCUUGCAGCCCUCAUGUUUACCCGCCAUAUAUCCUCGGCUUAGCGUUAUUACCUGAUCUCUACGUCCCUUAGGGGGUGAUUUCCAGCGGUAUCAGCCUCCUCUGCAGCGGCCUCGAAGGCCAAGAGCCGCUUGGGGCUGUUCGAGAAGUGACUGUAGAUGACCCGGACCAGUGCCUUUAGGGUGCUGAUGACUGCCGCCUGCUCCUGGGCACCGGCUGCCAGCUGCGUCCGGUGAGCCAUGCAGUGGAUGGUAACGAUGUGCGGAGCAAGGUCCGUCAUCUGAGUCGAGACCCCGUUGUGCACUCCCGUCAUGACGCUUGCCCCGUCAGUGCUCACGGCGACCAGCUUCUGCGCAAGCUCGUUGGCCGUCAGCCCAGCUCUGUCCGCCAGCACCUCCAGCAGCAAGCUGGUGAUGUUGUCCGCUGUCGGUGCCGCCUCCAGUUUUGCCAGCUGUAGGACACGAAAAGAGAGACAAACAGAGACUUUAAUGGGGUCUAUCCACGGCCAAAAAAAACGGUUGAAGGAGGAAGCCGUCUAGACUGAGGAAAUGUGGACAAAAGAGUAACGGUUAAAAGAGCUGGGCUCCCAGCAAUUCACCCCGGCAUUACGUUAAUUUUAAACCUUCCCAUCAUCCCGGCCUCACAUCAAUGCACAGCGGGAUCCGGCUCCAGCCCUCCAUGACAUAGACGUGAACGCAGAGCCGGGACCUCUUGUCAAUGCCCCUGGACUCGUCCAGGCUCACGGAUACAAAGCGGUUGGCGGCGACCAGCCUGCGGAUUUCGUCCUUGAGCACCGCAUCCAGGGCCUCGGCAAGCUGCCAGGCACUGUUGCAGCUCCAGUGCUUAUCACGGUAGUGUGGCACGUCCAGCACCUGGAACAGGUCCUUAGAGCCGACAUAGUCGAGGAUGGGGCGCCCGUGAUCCAGCAUGAAGAAGAGCUGCCGCAGCUGCUGCACAACUCCCCUCUCGGACUUGCUGAGUGCUCUGGACAAAAGGUUGUCGACCGUCCGCGCUGUCAGCUGGUGCCGCUCGUGCUGAAGGGCCCGCGCUUCGUGGCUGCACAUGGCUUCUUAGUGUUUUUUGGAGAGCUCGUGGCUUUUUAGCGUGGCCUGCCUGGCAUCCAUCGUGACGUCCCG
This 7371-nucleotide long non-coding RNA is filed under the name Volvox carteri. Its description in RNAcentral is "long non-coding RNA (VCAR_LNC000802)". The record is from RNAcentral. Lineage: Eukaryota; Viridiplantae; Chlorophyta; Chlorophyceae; Chlamydomonadales; Volvocaceae.